RNAcentral lists this long non-coding RNA (1312 nucleotides) under Homo sapiens (human). RNAcentral's name for it is "HSALNT0395227". The record is from RNAcentral. Lineage: Eukaryota; Metazoa; Chordata; Mammalia; Primates; Hominidae.
AAAUACACUGGCAGGAAUAUACACCAAACACUCACAAAAGAACCAGAGAAAUCACUGGUUCUGGCCAAAUGAGUAGAACACACACACACACACACACACACACACACACACACACAUACACACAUACACAGUGACUAAAGCGGGAUAGUAAUGUGUCUAGAGUAGUUUUCAGAGUAUGUGUGUGUAUGUGUGUGUGCGUGUGUGUACCUACAUGUGCAUAUCCCUGGUAGUGCAUUACUGCUGCACUUAUUUGGAGGAAAUUUGAGAAAAUGUCUUUGAACAUGGUUGUCUUACUGGAUUUCAUUUAUUAAAUAAUUCACCAGGCUUUUCUUCUGGAAAAAUGUCCAACUGUAGCAGACAGAAAGGAAGCCAAGAGAGGGUGUUUACAGCAAGGAGGGGCUAUGAAAUAUCUUCACUCCAGGUUCUUUAUGAGCUGCAGUGUAUCAUUUUUAUCAGCAAUUGGAAGCAUGCUGCAUGUUUGACUCUGUGGACUCCUGCUUUACACAACAGAACAUUCCGAUGGUGUGCAUGUGCCAUAGUACGUAUAGAAAUUCUAAGAAUUCAUAUAAUUUACCUGCUAAAUCAGGGACUAUUACAGUCUGCUGUGUAAAUUCACAUUUUGGCACUCUUUAAAAAGUGGAUUAUUAUUGACCCAAUAGACCAUAACAGCUCCAAAGAAGCCGUUACUGUACAUCGUGUAAAGCCUUCGUGGUGUGUGUUUUAUUGAAGCUCUGUAGCUGUCGGGAUCUGCUUGUCAAUCUAGCUGCCAUGCGCGUGCACCAAAUGCAUUGCUAAAGAUGCCUUGUAAAUUGAAGCUUUAGUCAAAUUACCCUUGUUCUUGUCCAAUAAGCCAUGGUAUAAAAUUGGAUAUUUCCACUGCAGUUUCUUUCUCCACCUCCAGAAUUCUAUUUCCCUGUAUUUAUAGAGGUUGAAAUUUUGAAAUGUGGAUAAGGGAGUGGUGAUUUGAUUUCAAGUUUCAAAAAAAAAAAAAAAAAAAAAGCAGGAAGAAAAUUGAAGACAGUUUUUGCUUUGCAUGAAAAAACAUCUCAAAGAAUGCAUGAAUUUACCAGCUUCCAGGAGGCUGACAACGGUCACAGUGAGAUUUCUCUACUUUAGGCUUUUGGGAAUCCAAAUAAGAUUUUUAUUUAAUUUUCUAUGUGCUAAUUUUGUGUUUUUCCACCUGUCUGUCCUCUUCUUUCAUUUAACAAAAAAAUGAACAUUGGAACAUUUGUCAGGAAAAAAAAAAAACUUUUUAGUUACUUGUACCUUCAGUAAAAAUAAAAUAAUACUUUGAGGUCUCAAGCUGUAGGUG